This 484-nucleotide ribosomal RNA is filed under the name uncultured bacterium. Its description in RNAcentral is "bacterial SSU rRNA". It matches the Rfam family "Bacterial small subunit ribosomal RNA", at positions 28 to 507 of the family's 1533-position model. The record is from RNAcentral.
GAUGAACGCUAGCGGCAGGCCUAACACAUGCAAGUCGAGGGGCAGCACAGGUAGCAAUACUGGGUGGCGACCGGCGGAUGGGUGCGUAACGCGUAUGCAACCUACCAUUGAUUGGGGCAUAGCCCGAAGAAAUUCGGAUUAAUACUCCAUAAUAUUCAUCAAAGGCAUCUUUUAUGAAUUAAAGCUUUUGCGAUCAAUGAUGGGCAUGCGUGACAUUAGUUAGUUGGUGAGGUAACGGCUCACCAAAACGAUGAUGUCUAGGGGUUCUGAGAGGAUUAUCCCCCACACUGGUACUGAGACACGGACCAGACUCCUACGGGAGGCAGCAGUGAGGAAUAUUGGGUCAAUGGACGCAAGUCUGAACCAGCCAUGCCGCGUGCAGGAUGACGGCCCUAUGGGUUGUAAACUGCUUUUCCACGGGAAGAACCCUCCGACGUGUCGGAGACUGACGGUACCGUGGGAAUAAGCAUCGGCUAACUCCGUG